Molecule: ribosomal RNA, 368 nt
Filed under: uncultured Synechococcus sp.
Lineage: Bacteria; Bacillati; Cyanobacteriota; Cyanophyceae; Synechococcales; Synechococcaceae
Description: bacterial LSU rRNA
Rfam family: Bacterial large subunit ribosomal RNA
Source: RNAcentral
GCUUUACUGUAGCUUGGUAUUGUGCCCGGGCUCUGAAUGCGCAGGAUAGGUGGGAGGCUUUGAUCCAUGGCUUGCGGGUCAUGGUGAGCCAACGGUGAGAUACCACUCUUUCAGAGCUAGGGUUCUAACAGCCACCCGUUAUCCGGGGGCUGGACAGUAUCAGGUGGGCAGUUUGACUGGGGCGGUCGCCUCCUAAAAGGUAACGGAGGCGCGCAAAGGUCUGCUCAGGCUGGUUGGAAAUCAGCCGACGAGUGCAAAAGCAGAAGCAGGCUUGACUGUGAGACCUACAAGUCGAACAGGGGGGAAACCCGGCUUUAGUGAUCCGACGGUUCUGAGUGGAAGGGCCGUCGCUCAACGGAUAAAAGUUA